Molecule: ribosomal RNA, 872 nt
Filed under: uncultured bacterium
Lineage: Bacteria
Description: bacterial SSU rRNA
Rfam family: Bacterial small subunit ribosomal RNA
Source: RNAcentral
AGAGUUUGAUCCUGGCUCAGGACGAACGCUGGCGGCGUGCCUAACACAUGCAAGUCGAGCGGUUCGGCAUUCAACACUGAGUAUUUAUGAGAAGUUGGAAAAGACAUAGCCAGCACAAGCGCGGUUAUGAAAUGCGCUUCACGCAUUAAAAAAGCCAACACAUAUAUGAGUACUGAGUGUUGAAUACCGGAUAGCGGCGGACGGGUGAGUAACGCGUGGGUAACCUGCCUUGUACAGGGGGAUAACACAGGGAAACUUGUGCUAAUACCGCAUAACAUCAGACCAUCACAUGGUGGACUGAUCAAAGGAGCAAUCCGGUAUAAGAUGGACCCGCGUCCGAUUAGCUAGUUGGAGGUGUAACGGACCACCAAGGCGACGAUCGGUAGCCGAACUGAGAGGUUGAUCGGCCACAUUGGGACUGAGACACGGCCCAGACUCCUACGGGAGGCAGCAGUGGGGAAUAUUGCGCAAUGGGGGAAACCCUGACGCAGCAACGCCGCGUGAAGGAUGAAGGUUUUCGGAUUGUAAACUUCUUCAGUCGGGGACGAAAAAAUGACGGUACCCGAAGAAUAAGCCACGGCUAACUACGUGCCAGCAGCCGCGGUAAUACGUAGGUGGCAAGCGUUGUCCGGAAUUACUGGGUGUAAAGGGCGUGUAGGCGGGAAGGUAAGUCAGAUGUGAAAUUCCGGGGCUCAACCCCGGCGCUGCAUCUGAAACUAUCUUUCUUGAGUGCUGGAGAGGAAAGCGGAAUUCCUAGUGUAGCGGUGAAAUGCGUAGAUAUUAGGAGGAACACCAGUGGCGAAAGGCGGCUUUCUGGACAGUAACUGACGCUGAGGCGCGAAAGCGUGGGGAGCAAACAGGAUUAGAUACCU